GUGUCACAACAGAGGUAACCCCGUGGGAGUCACGAGGAGACUAAAAUUAUCUCCAAUUGUGCAGGAGAGAAAAGUUUCACUGAAGGCAGGUGUAGUUCAGCUAAGCCCUACAGCACAGAAGUAGGAAUGUGGGUGCCUGGAGCCAGACUCAGCCUACAGCUCUCUUCUGCUCGCCUGGAGGUGAAACAAGGUGUCAUGAUUAAUCAAAUCCCGUCUUCACUCAUCAAGAUACCCAAAGCCCCUUGCCUUUGGGGAGGCGGAUUUGAGACCUAUUGUCACGUCACGUCCUCACUUGGCUGCCCUGUGAAUAAACCUCCUCUUUGCUGCAAACCUCAGCAUUUCAGU
Orcinus orca (killer whale) is the source of this 345-nucleotide long non-coding RNA. RefSeq lists it as uncharacterized. NCBI's taxonomy places the organism in Eukaryota, Metazoa, Chordata, Mammalia, Artiodactyla, Delphinidae. The transcript is spliced from 3 exons. The record is from RefSeq and is a predicted model, not a curated record.